This 468-nucleotide ribosomal RNA is filed under the name uncultured bacterium. Its description in RNAcentral is "partial 16S ribosomal RNA". It matches the Rfam family "Bacterial small subunit ribosomal RNA", at positions 28 to 507 of the family's 1533-position model. The record is from RNAcentral.
GACGAACGCUGGCGGCGUGCUUAACACAUGCAAGUCGAACGGAAAGGCCCUGCUUUUGUGGGGUGCUCGAGUGGCGAACGGGUGAGUAACACGUGAGUAACCUGCCCUUGACUUUGGGAUAACUUCAGGAAACUGGGGCUAAUACCGGAUAGGAGCUCUUGCUGCAUGGUGGGGGUUGGAAAGGUUCGGCGGUUGGGGAUGGACUCGCGGCUUAUCAGCUUGUUGGUGGGGUAGUGGCUUACCAAGGCUUUGACGGGUAGCCGGCCUGAGAGGGUGACCGGCCACAUUGGGCCUGGGAUACGGCCCAGACUCCUACGGGAGGCAUCAGUGGGGAAUUUUGCACACUGGGCGGAAGCCUGAUGCAGCAACGCCGCGUGCGGGAUGACGGCCUUCGGGUUGUAACCCGCUUUCGCCUGUGACGAAGCGUGAGUGACGGUAAUGGGUAAAGAAGCACCGGCUAACUACGUG